AUUGAACGCUGGCGGCAGGCCUAACACAUGCAAGUCGAGCGGAUGAAGGGAGCUUGCUCCUGGAUUCAGCGGCGGACGGGUGAGUAAUGCCUAGGAAGCUGCCUGGUAGUGGGGGAUAACGUCCGGAAACGGGCGCUAAUACCGCAUACGUCCUGAGGGAGAAAGUGGGGGAUCUUCGGACAUCAAGCUAUCAGCUGAGCCUAGGCUGCAUUAGCUAGUUGGUGGGGUAAAGGCUUACCAAGGCGACGAUCCGUAACUGGUCUGAGAGGAUGAUCUGCCACACUGGAACUGAGACACGGUCCAGACUCCUACGGGAGGCAGCAGUGGGGAAUAUUGGACAAUGGGCGAAAGCCUGAUCCAGCCAUGCCGCGUGUGUGAAGAAGGUCUUCGGAUUGUAAAGCACUUUAAUUUGGGAGGAAGGGCAGUAAGUUAAUACCUUGCUGUUUUGACGUUACCAACAGAAUAAGCACCGGCUAACUUCGUG
This 484-nucleotide ribosomal RNA is filed under the name uncultured bacterium. RNAcentral's name for it is "partial 16S ribosomal RNA". It matches the Rfam family "Bacterial small subunit ribosomal RNA", at positions 30 to 507 of the family's 1533-position model. The record is from RNAcentral.